CAGAAGAUGACAACAGCGUCCAGGGCGAGCUCCAACACAGGGACACGAUGAAAGGAGAUCCUGGGCGCAAGUUAGGCGACCGCGGCGCGCAGGGAAAAAACUAAAGCAGCAGCUGCGGCGAGAUGGACAGGGGCGCUGCUGGGAGAAGGGGCUUGGGCGAGCUGGAACGCGGCUAGGGCACCGCUCGCGAGCAGAGAAGCCAAAGCGGCUGGGCUGAACAGAGGGAGCAGGGGCGCUGCGGCAUGGCGAGUGCGCUAGGAAACUCUGGCCGCGAGCAGAGCAGAGGGAUGCGCGAGGGAGCAGAGAGCUUCGGCGAGCUGAAAAAUACCGCGCGCAGGGAGCACGGCUGGAGAGGAAGCGCGCUGGCUGGGGAUGAAGAUCCGAGCGCAGGGGCUGAGGGAGGAAGGAGAGGGCUUGGGCUGGACGCCGGCAGGGGAGCAGGCGAUGGCCGGCGUUGGGACAGGGCACGUGCGGUUCAGAGUAAAACUGGAGCAGGAUACGACGCGCACAGGGAACCGCUCGUCCGGCGCCAUGGGGGAUCCGACCUGAUGCUGGAGACGGAGAUGAGAGGAAGGAGCAGGUGGCGCGCAGAGCAAGGAAGCAGAAGGGCGGCCGACGCUGGGGCUCUGAGCACCACGCGAGGAGCUCGGCCGUCCGCAGUUGGAGGAAGAAGGAGUGCGCGUGGGAGGAGCAGAGAUGGACGUGAGCGCAGGGAUAAGAACAGCGCUGCAACAAAGAUCUGAUGGGGAGGGCGGUCAGGAAAAGAAAAAAAU
RNAcentral lists this unclassified non-coding RNA (773 nucleotides) under Zea mays. RNAcentral's name for it is "misc RNA Zm00001eb339930". The record is from RNAcentral. Lineage: Eukaryota; Viridiplantae; Streptophyta; Magnoliopsida; Poales; Poaceae.